ACGGUGACAGUACCCCGGGUGGGGCGAGAGCCAGUCAUGGCGGAGUCCUGGUCUGGGCAGGCCUUGCAGGCUCUGCCGGCCACGGUGCUGGGCGCGCUGGGCGCGCUAGGCAGCGAGUUCUUGCGGGAGUGGGAGGCGCAGGACAUGCGCGUGACCCUCUUCAAGCUGCUGCUGCUGUGGUUGGUGUUAAGUCUCCUGGGCAUCCAGCUGGCGUGGGGGUUCUACGGGAAUACAGUGACCGGGUUGUAUCACCGUCCAGUCCCUUAGGACCCUCACCAGACUUCACCAAACAAUACCAGUGGUCUGUAACCUGACCUGGGCUGAUGCCUGCUCAGAUUCCCACCCCAGCCUUCUGCAGCUCUGGAUGUGUUUCUGCCUCCAGGUCUGGGUGGUCAGAAUGGAUCCACGCCUGAUGGCUCCACGCAUUUCCCUUCGUGGUGAGUAAAUCUGUCCAUACCGCAACCCCAUGCUUGGCAUUCCAAGGACACUCCUGUGCUGGUGACAGAGAGGGGAGUUCUCAGGCUAUAAGCCCACCAGCUUAAUGGCCUUUGCAGCAAGCUUCAAGUCUGCACGUAGAGCUCAGGCUUCAAGUUAGGGUG
RNAcentral lists this small RNA (599 nucleotides) under Pan troglodytes (chimpanzee). RNAcentral describes it as "processed transcript". The record is from RNAcentral. Lineage: Eukaryota; Metazoa; Chordata; Mammalia; Primates; Hominidae.